UUAGCUCUGUUUGUCCCUAGCCGAGCUUGCAGCACAGAAUCGACAGGAUGCGUGGGCGGCAAGACGAAAAAGCCGCGUCCGAGGUUGUGGACGCUUCCAGACACAAGACUGAUUUAUGCAGCAGGCGCUCCUUGGCUGCAUCUGCAAUGCUAGCUCAAGGCGAGAAUGCUUUGGGCACGUUGCCAUCUGCGUCCACAGUCAUCCUGGCACAACUGCCAUGUGGUGCAGCAAUGGCGCCUGCUGAACCACUCCGUUCAUUUCAAAAGGUGCAGGGCUGGUUCAUUUUGCUGCACCUACUCCGCUGUCGGUGCCGACUUGGUGCAGGCGUACAGGUGCGACGCAGCAGCGCAGCAGACAGUCCAGCACAUGGGCGCAAGCGCCAUUAAAAGCCCGCUUACGCACGUCUGAUGUGUGUACAGAUGUGGUUUGUAGUUAGGCCCACAAGCUGAUAAUACUUGUAGUUCACGAUCUUUCAAAUGUACGCACUCUGUGCACAUUAAUCAGGCAUAACAUAACGCCUGCACCGCAUCUGCACCUUGGCAUUCGUUUCGAGUGUUGCGCUGUGCCUGCACCGCAGAAACAAGCUGCACAAUUUCUGAACUUCUCGUGAACCGCCGUUAACUGGUUGACAGUUGUGCAGGUGAAUUGAAAAGCCCUUUUAAGUGCUUCCACAUGAAGUUCUUAUUUGCCCUUACGUUGCUUAGUGGCCUGAUGGCUGCUUCAGGUAUUGUACAAAAUGUUCGAUUCAACACUGAAAGAAAAUUCAAGGAUAUGAAUGCUCAUGAAGGCCAAAAUUCAGUGACAUACAAAUGCAUUAAUUCUGCACAUAAACUAAAAAUUGUCAAAUUUCCUUCUUCCUAGCUGCAUUCAGUUAAGCAUGCUACUAAGUUGGAAUUGCUGGAAAAGUGUAAAAAAAGGCAAUUUUCUUUUAUAGUGUAGAGUGUCGACUGAUAACUGACCUUACGGCCAGAAAUGAUGUGCAUACCUUGAGGAGGAUGCUUUAGUUCAGUGCCAACUCUAAUCUCUUUAUUCAAAUACAUGUAAAAUGCAGAAAUGCUUUUGAGACAACUACUGGAAUAAUUGCAAUGAAAUUUGUUGCAUUUGAGAGAAAAAGAUAAAAUUUAGUCAUUCUAGGCUGCAUAAUUUUGAUUUAGGACCUUGAAUAUUUAGGAAAAAUUGCUGAGAGUCAGUAAACUUAAAAAAUAUAAGCACGAAGUUUACAAUUUCAUAGCUUUUGUAUCAAGUUGUAAACUUCAUACGAAAGUCUUUUUAAUUUCACAAUUUUCAAAAUUUCCUGCCACAAAAAAUUGCCCCCUAGAACAGUCGCUACAUUUCAGCUUUUUUUUUUUUUACAUGUAACCAACCUCAUCGAAUUCCGUUGCUGGCUUCAGAGAAAAACUAUUUCUCUUUUCCCAUGUAUUCAGAUAGGAGCUCCAGAGAUAAAACUGCCUCCAAGUCAGGUGGAAAAGGAAAGUAUCAGCAACGUUCUCACACCUACACUGUCCUUAUUGGUAUGUAGUGUGACUAAAUUCUGCUUCUGCAUUAGUUGUGUUGAUAGCAUGCUUGUUCCAAAUUCUUAUUUGUUCCUUUUGCAAAUUUUCAUUUUGUUCACAGAACUUUCCAAAAGGGGAACGUAUCCAAUAAAAUAAAGCACUAAUUUACUUUCA
This is a non-coding RNA of Dermacentor andersoni, 1667 nucleotides long. NCBI's taxonomy places the organism in Eukaryota, Metazoa, Arthropoda, Arachnida, Ixodida, Ixodidae. The record is from RefSeq and is a predicted model, not a curated record.